UUACCCUGGAACGGCCUACCCUGUAGCGGCUGCCGGUGGACUACCAAACUCUUGUUAUUUUAUUGUAAUCUGAGCGUCUUAUUUUAAUAAGUCAAAACUUUCAACAACGGAUCUCUUGGUUCUGGCAUCGAUGAAGAACGCAGCGAAAUGCGAUAAGUAAUGUGAAUUGCAGAAUUCAGUGAAU
This 184-nucleotide ribosomal RNA is filed under the name Pestalotiopsis sp. Its description in RNAcentral is "5.8S ribosomal RNA". The stretch from base 96 to 184 matches the Rfam family "5.8S ribosomal RNA", at positions 1 to 89 of the family's 154-position model. Lineage: Eukaryota; Fungi; Ascomycota; Sordariomycetes; Amphisphaeriales; Sporocadaceae. The record is from RNAcentral.